This 63-nucleotide transfer RNA is filed under the name Epigonichthys maldivensis. RNAcentral's name for it is "tRNA-Arg". The record is from RNAcentral. Lineage: Eukaryota; Metazoa; Chordata; Leptocardii; Amphioxiformes; Branchiostomatidae.
AAGCAGGUAGUUUAAGUAAAAUAUUUGGUUUCGGCCCAGAAGAUAAUGCAAUGUUCCUGGUUU